This 460-nucleotide ribosomal RNA is filed under the name uncultured bacterium. RNAcentral's name for it is "partial 16S ribosomal RNA". It matches the Rfam family "Bacterial small subunit ribosomal RNA", at positions 338 to 795 of the family's 1533-position model. The record is from RNAcentral.
CCUACGGGGGGCAGCAGUGAGGAAUAUUGGUCAAUGGACGAGAGUCUGAACCAGCCAAGUAGCGUGAAGGAUGACUGCCCUAUGGGUUGUAAACUUCUUUUAUAAGGGAAUAAAACGAGGCACGUGUGCCUUUUUGCAUGUACUUUAUGAAUAAGGAUCGGCUAACUCCGUGCCAGCAGCCGCGGUAAUACGGAGGAUCCGAGCGUUAUCCGGAUUUAUUGGGUUUAAAGGGAGCGUAGAUGGGUUGUUAAGUCAGUUGUGAAAGUUUGCGGCUCAACCGUAAAAUUGCAAUUGAUACUGGCAGUCGUGAGUACAGUUGAGGUAGGCGGAAUUCGUGGUGUAGCGGUGAAAUGCUUAGAUAUCACGAAGAACCCCGAUUGCGAAGGCAGCUUACUAAACUGUGACUGACAUUGAUGCUCGAAAGUGUGGGUAUCAAACAGGAUUAGAUACCCUUGUAGUC